CGGCGGACGGGUGAGUAAUGCCUAGGAAUCUGCCUGGUAGUGGGGGAUAACGUCCGGAAACGGGCGCUAAUACCGCAUACGUCCUGAGGGAGAAAGUGGGGGAUCUUCGGACCUCACGCUAUCAGAUGAGCCUAGGUUGGAUUAGCUAGUUGGUGGGGUAAAGGCCUACCAAGGCGACGAUCCGUAACUGGUCUGAGAGGAUGAUCAGUCACACUGGAACUGAGACACGGUCCAG
Molecule: ribosomal RNA, 235 nt
Filed under: uncultured bacterium
Lineage: Bacteria
Description: partial 16S ribosomal RNA
Rfam family: Bacterial small subunit ribosomal RNA
Source: RNAcentral